GGUAGAACCGACCUACCAAUGUCGUCUUAUAAGAGAGCAUUAAACCACCUAAAGGUGCUUUGGUAAAGAGCCAGGGUAUUGAGCGUUUAGGAAACGGUCACGCCAAGAGCGUGAUCAGGU
Molecule: non-coding RNA, 120 nt
Filed under: Gillisia sp. Hel_I_86
Lineage: Bacteria; Pseudomonadati; Bacteroidota; Flavobacteriia; Flavobacteriales; Flavobacteriaceae
Source: RNAcentral